RNAcentral lists this ribosomal RNA (701 nucleotides) under uncultured soil bacterium. RNAcentral's name for it is "bacterial SSU rRNA". It matches the Rfam family "Bacterial small subunit ribosomal RNA", at positions 46 to 765 of the family's 1533-position model. The record is from RNAcentral.
GCCUUAUGCAUGCAAGUCGAACGAGGUUAGAAUUUCGGUUCGAAGCCUAGUGGCGGACGGGUGAGUAACACGUACGUGACCUGUCCAGAAGUGGGGAAUAACCGGCCGAAAGGUUGGCUAAUACCGCAUGUGGUCACCCCUUGGAAGGGGAUGACGAAAGCCGAAAGGCGCUUCUGGAGGGGCGUGUGGCCGAUUAGCUUGUUGGUGUGGUAACGGCGCACCAAGGCGAUGAUCGGUAGCUGGUCUGAGAGGAUGGUCAGCCACACUGGGACUGAGAUACGGCCCAGACUCCUACGGGAGGCAGCAGUGGGGAAUUUUGGGCAAUGGGCGAAAGCCUGACCCAGCAACGCCGCGUGAAGGAUGAAGUAUUUCGGUAUGUAAACUUCGAAAGAAUAGGAAGAAUUAAUGACGGUACUAUUUAUAAGGUCCGGCUAACUACGUGCCAGCAGCCGCGGUAAUACGUAGGGACCAAGCGUUGUUCGGAUUUACUGGGCGUAAAGGGCGCGUAGGCGGCGUGACAAGUCACUUGUGAAAUCUCUGGGCUUAACCCAGAACGGCCAAGAGAAACUGUUGUGCUAGAGUGCGGAAGGGGCAAUCGGAAUUCUUGGUGUAGCGGUGAAAUGCGUAGAUAUCAAGAGGAACACCUGAGGUGAAGACGGGUUGCUGGGCCGACACUGACGCUGAGUGCGCGAAAGCCAGGG